RNAcentral lists this ribosomal RNA (566 nucleotides) under uncultured Glomeromycotina. Its description in RNAcentral is "SSU rRNA". It matches the Rfam family "Eukaryotic small subunit ribosomal RNA", at positions 548 to 1114 of the family's 1831-position model. The record is from RNAcentral. Lineage: Eukaryota; Fungi; Glomeromycota.
UUGGAGGGCAAGUCUGGUGCCAGCAGCCGCGGUAAUUCCAGCUCCAAUAGCGUAUAUUAAAGUUGUUGCAGUUAAAAAGCUCGUAGUUGAAUUUCGGGAUCAAUAUUUCGAUCAUGCCGUUGGUAUGCACUGUUAUCAUUGAUUUCUCACCUUCUAAAGAACCGUAAUGCCAUUAAUUUGGUGUUACGGGGAAUUAGGACUGUUACCUUGAAAAAAUUAGAGUGUUUAAAGCAGGCUCACGCUUGAAUACAUUAGCAUGGAAUAAUGAAAUAGGACAUCCGAUUCUAUUUUGUUGGUUUCUAGGAUCGAUGUAAUGAUUAAUAGGGAUAGUUGGGGGCAUUAGUAUUCAAUUGUCAGAGGUGAAAUUCUUGGAUUUAUUGAAGACUAACUACUGCGAAAGCAUUUGCCAAGGAUGUUUUCAUUAAUCAAGAACGAAAGUUAGGGGAUCGAAGACGAUCAGAUACCGUCGUAGUCUUAACCAUAAACUAUGCCGACUAGGGAUCGGAUGAUGUUAAUUUUUUAAUGACUCAUUCGGCGCCUUACGGGAAACCAAAGUGUUUGGGUUC